GAAUAUUGGUCAAUGGACGCAAGUCUGAACCAGCCAUGCCGCGUGAAGGAUGAAGGCGUUCUGCGUUGUAAACUUCUUUUAUCAGGGAAGAAACCACUGAUUUCUAUCGGUGUUGACGGUACCUGAGGAAUAAGCACCGGCUAACUCCGUGCCAGCAGCCGCGGUAAUACGGAGGGUGCAAGCGUUAUCCGGAUUUACUGGGUUUAAAGGGUGCGUAGGCGGUCUAUUAAGUCAGGGGUGAAAUCCCGGGGCUCAACCCCGGAACUGCCUUUGAUACUAUUAGACUUGAAUUAUGUUGAGGUUGGCGGAAUAUAACAUGUAGCGGUGAAAUGCAUAGAUAUGUUAUAGAACACCGAUUGCGAAGGCAGCUGACUAAACAUUAAUUGACGCUGAGGCACGAAAGCGUGGGGAUCAAACAGG
Molecule: ribosomal RNA, 420 nt
Filed under: uncultured bacterium
Lineage: Bacteria
Description: bacterial SSU rRNA
Rfam family: Bacterial small subunit ribosomal RNA
Source: RNAcentral